UCAGCUCGUGUCGUGAGAUGUUGGGUUAAGUCCCGCAACGAGCGCAACCCUUGUCAUUAGUUGCUACAUUCAGUUGGGCACUCUAAUGAGACUGCCGGUGACAAACCGGAGGAAGGUGGGGAUGACGUCAAGUCCUCAUGGCCCUUAUAGGUAGGGCUACACACGUCAUACAAUGGAUGGUACAAAGGGUCGCCAACCCGCGAGGGGGAGCCAAUCCCAUAAAACCAUUCGUAAUCCGGAUCGCAGUCUGCAACUCGACUGCGUGAAGUCGGAAUCGCUAGUAAUCGUGGAUCAGAAUGUCACGGUGAAUACGUUCCCGGGUCUU
Molecule: ribosomal RNA, 325 nt
Filed under: uncultured Polaromonas sp.
Lineage: Bacteria; Pseudomonadati; Pseudomonadota; Betaproteobacteria; Burkholderiales; Comamonadaceae
Description: bacterial SSU rRNA
Rfam family: Bacterial small subunit ribosomal RNA
Source: RNAcentral